Molecule: long non-coding RNA, 736 nt
Organism: Scylla paramamosain (green mud crab)
Lineage: Eukaryota; Metazoa; Arthropoda; Malacostraca; Decapoda; Portunidae
Exons: 4
Source: RefSeq, a predicted model, not a curated record
AGAAAUUCGGUGACCCAUAAACUGAAGAGGAAACAGCAAUCACUGAGGCCUGGACGGAAGCGCGCUGUAAUGCAGAGUUUAGAUGACGUACAACUCUAAUAAGGCCAUUCCCCGAAGCGAGUUAUGUUUAGUGCCUUGGAUAAUUGGCCAGAAAAAGAGGUGUGGAGCCACUGUCGCGCCUUGCUGCCGUGUCAGGUGACGAACAGCCAGAGCUGCGGUGAUAAAAGAGGAAAGCCAGUAACUUGUGUCACCGUUAAAGUUUAUGUAGCUAUAUAAUACUCACUCAGUGUGACUCUAGUGUAAAUAACGCGUCAUAUUUAACAGUGUUAUUUAAUUCAUUGACGGCCUCUGAAAACUAACUUCCCGUUUUCUCCAUUUCAGCCAAUAGGAUGCAGCCAAGCGUCUUGAUGUCACGAAGAAGACGAACUGAACCUUUUUAUUUGAGGCUCCGGACUAACUCAUUACAGGUGCAGAUGUUUCGUAAACCAAAGUUAGAGGCUUCAUUAGGAGAGGGAAGAGUCACCGCUCAACGAGCCUCGCCAGUAUGUGGGUGGCAGCAGGGAAAAGCAGAUACGUAGUACGGCUGGUUCUCAUUUUUCAUCCCUUUGCAACAUGGUGCCUCGGCGGCCGUGACGCUCACUGCCCAGGAUCCAGGACGGGGGCGCCCGAGGGAGUGGUGGUGGUUCAGUAAAGAAUUAUUAGAUACAUGAAACAUUGGUCGUCAGCAAGCAGGUAA